UUUUUAUUUGGGCUCUUAUGCCUCUUUUUUUUUCUUUUUUCUCUUUUAUCUCUUUUUAUUUUUGGGCUCUUUGGCCUCUUUUUUUUAUUUCCUCACAUGGGAAAUGCUCCAAUAAUGAUGAUCAUCACACUUCUAUUUACUCACAUCUCAAAAUGAUGAUGACUCUAUAGGAAAUUCCUCCGGCCGUGUACCGAGAUGUGCAACGAUCUAGCAUGGC
This 217-nucleotide long non-coding RNA is filed under the name Hordeum vulgare. Its description in RNAcentral is "long non-coding RNA (HVUL_LNC018324)". Lineage: Eukaryota; Viridiplantae; Streptophyta; Magnoliopsida; Poales; Poaceae. The record is from RNAcentral.